GUUCUUAUAGUUGAAUUACAACGGUGGUUUUUCGUAUCAUUAGUCUUGGUUAAAAUCCGAGUAAGAAUU
RNAcentral lists this transfer RNA (69 nucleotides) under Xenomystax atrarius (deepwater conger). RNAcentral's name for it is "tRNA-Glu". It matches the Rfam family "tRNA". Rfam says of the family: Transfer RNA (tRNA) molecules are approximately 80 nucleotides in length. Lineage: Eukaryota; Metazoa; Chordata; Actinopteri; Anguilliformes; Congridae. The record is from RNAcentral.